RNAcentral lists this long non-coding RNA (742 nucleotides) under Mus spicilegus (steppe mouse). RNAcentral describes it as "lncRNA (ENSMSIG00000006106.1)". The record is from RNAcentral. Lineage: Eukaryota; Metazoa; Chordata; Mammalia; Rodentia; Muridae.
GUCCCCUUCUCCUGCUACCUGCCUCUUCUGGGCACAGACCUGGAUCCUGGCUUCAGUCUUCUGACCCUACGUCUUCCAUUUCUGUGUCCUGUUUUAGAUAGACUGUGUGGUAGAUCACAUGACAAGUGACAGUUGCCAGGGCUGAAGGGACCAUCUCUAGGGAUAUGUUUUUAUUCAAAGUCCCUUACCUGUGACAGAUACAGUCCUGGUAACUUAGCUGUGGCCAGGUUAGACUUGUGUAUACCCUGGGGAGCUGUUUGUUUCUGUUUUGUUUGUGUUUUGUUUUGUGAGAAACACCUUUGGAUUGCCAGGUACUCAUGACCCAGAGACCAUGACCUGUGCUCCUUCCUGACUUUCCAUUCCUACUGGCCCUCAGCAGCCAGCACCCCAACCUCCAAGGCUGGGCCUUCAGCCUCACAGAGGCCACAGCGAGCAAGCAGCAGCAAUGCCGGGAAAGGUGAAACUUUCCAGGUUCUCUGGCUGAAAUCUAAGUGGGAACCUUAUGAAGGGGAAGACAGGAAGCCCCUGCCACUCCGGUGUUCAGGCAACACGUUCCUUCUGCGUUCUCUUUUCCACACCGAGUUAGGACCGGAGAGAUGGAAUGUAACCAACCUGACACGCUGUCCAUUUAGGAGUGAGAUCUCCUAUUUUCUUAGAAACAGUGGUGGAAAAAGCCAAGAGACUCCAAAGAGGGCGAUUUCCUACAUGAUUCUGAUUUAUCUGGAGCCAGAAAAUCGAAGGC